AUGUCGACUUGGAGGUUGUGCCCUUGAGGCGUGGCUUCCGGAGCUAACGCGUUAAGUCGACCGCCUGGGGAGUACGGCCGCAAGGUUAAAACUCAAAUGAAUUGACGGGGGCCCGCACAAGCGGUGGAGCAUGUGGUUUAAUUCGAUGCAACGCGAAGAACCUUACCUGGCCUUGACAUCCACGGAAUUCGGCAGAGAUGCCUUAGUGCCUUCGGGAACCGUGAGACAGGUGCUGCAUGGCUGUCGUCAGCUCGUGUUGUGAAAUGUUGGGUUAAGUCCCGCAACGAGCGCAACCCUUAUCCUUUGUUGCCAGCGAGUAAUGUCGGGAACUCAAAGGAGACUGCCGGUGACAAACCGGAGGAAGGUGGGGAUGACGUCAAGUCAUCAUGGCCCUUACGGCCAGGGCUACACACGUGCUACAAUGGCGCAUACAAAGAGAAGCGAACUCGCGAGAGCAAGCGGACCUCACAAAGUGCGUCGUAGUCCGGAUCGGAGUCUGCAACUCGACUCCGUGAAGUCGGAAUCGCUAGUAAUCGUAGAUCAGAAUGCUACGGUGAAUACGUUCCCGGGCCUUGUACACACCGCCCGUCACACCAUGGGAGUGGGUUGCAAAAGAAGUAGGUAGCUUAACCUUCGGGAGGGCGCUUACCACUUUGUGAUUCAUGACUGGGGUGAAGUCGUAACAAGGUACCAAGGGCGAA
RNAcentral lists this ribosomal RNA (701 nucleotides) under uncultured Serratia sp. RNAcentral's name for it is "bacterial SSU rRNA". It matches the Rfam family "Bacterial small subunit ribosomal RNA", at positions 809 to 1509 of the family's 1533-position model. The record is from RNAcentral. Lineage: Bacteria; Pseudomonadati; Pseudomonadota; Gammaproteobacteria; Enterobacterales; Yersiniaceae.